Molecule: long non-coding RNA, 236 nt
Filed under: Lathyrus oleraceus (garden pea)
Lineage: Eukaryota; Viridiplantae; Streptophyta; Magnoliopsida; Fabales; Fabaceae
Description: Pisum sativum (pea) long non-coding RNA (PSAT_LNC012861)
Source: RNAcentral
CCUUAAGAGGCAAUGUUUGCGCUUGUUUAUCUUUGUGCCUUGUACAUGUGAAGACCUCCUAAGUGAAGAGGCAUUGGAAGAUAGAAGGGAUGUGCAACCCAUCCCCUGCUAUUCAGUUGAGUCUUUCAUCUUGCUCGUACUACGUGCUGAUGCAUUUUGAAUAAACACCCAAGAUCCUUGUAUAUAGAGUCGGUCAAGUGGAGUAGAGUCCCACAUUCUUGACUCCCACACCUUCA